AGUGAACGCUGGCGGUAGGCCUAACACAUGCAAGUCGAACGGCAGCACAGUAAGAGCUUGCUCUUACGGGUGGCGAGUGGCGGACGGGUGAGGAAUACAUCGGACUCUACUUUUUCGUGGGGGAUAACGUAGGGAAACUUACGCUAAUACCGCAUCCGCCCUACGGGUGAGAGCAGGGGAUCUUCGGACCUUGCGGGAUUGAAUGCGCCGAUGUCGGAUUAGCUAGUUGGCGGGGUAAAGGCCCACCAAGGCGACGAUCCGUAGCUGGUCGGAGAGGAUGAUCGGCCACACUGGAACGGAGACACGGUCCAGACUCCUACGGGAGGCAGCAGUGGGGAAUAUUGGACAAUGGGCGCAAGCCUGAUCCAGCCAUACCGCGUGGGUGAAGAAGGCCUUCGGGUUGUAAAGCCCUUUUGUUGGGAAAGAAAAGCAGCAGGUUAAUACCCCGCUGUUCUGACGGUACCCAAAGAAUAAGCACCGGCUAACUUCGUG
RNAcentral lists this ribosomal RNA (492 nucleotides) under uncultured bacterium. RNAcentral's name for it is "partial 16S ribosomal RNA". It matches the Rfam family "Bacterial small subunit ribosomal RNA", at positions 29 to 507 of the family's 1533-position model. The record is from RNAcentral.